Molecule: ribosomal RNA, 440 nt
Filed under: uncultured Lachnospiraceae bacterium
Lineage: Bacteria; Bacillati; Bacillota; Clostridia; Lachnospirales; Lachnospiraceae
Description: bacterial SSU rRNA
Rfam family: Bacterial small subunit ribosomal RNA
Source: RNAcentral
CCUACGGUGGGCAGCAGUGGGGAAUAUUGCACAAUGGGGGAAACCCUGAUGCAGCGACGUCGCGUGGGCGAAGAAGUAUUUCGGUACGUAAAGCCCUAUCAGCAGGGAAGAUAAUGACGGUACCUGACUAAGAAGCUCCGGCUAAAUACGUGCCAGCAGCCGCGGUAAUACGUAUGGAGCAAGCGUUAUCCGGAUUUACUGGGUGUAAAGGGAGAGCAGGCGGCUAAGUAAGUUGGGUGUGAAAGCCCGGGGCUCAACCCCGGGACUGCACCCAAAACUGCAUAGCUAGAGUAUCGGAGGGGCAAGCGGAAUUCCUAGUGUAGCGGUGAAAUGCGUAGAUAUUAGGAGGAACACCGGUGGCGAAGGCGGCUUGCUGGACGAUAACUGACGCUGAGUCUCGAAAGCGUGGGGAGCAAACAGGAUUAGAUACCCGAGUAGUC